This 468-nucleotide ribosomal RNA is filed under the name uncultured bacterium. RNAcentral's name for it is "partial 16S ribosomal RNA". It matches the Rfam family "Bacterial small subunit ribosomal RNA", at positions 28 to 507 of the family's 1533-position model. The record is from RNAcentral.
GACGAACGCUGGCGGCGUGCUUAACACAUGCAAGUCGAACGGAAAGGCCCUGCUUUUGUGGGGUGCUCGAGUGGAGAACGGGUGAGUAACACGUGAGUAACCUGCCCUUGACUUUGGGAUAACUUCAGGAAACUGGGGCUAAUAGCGGAUAGGAGCUCCUGCUGCAUGGUGGGGGUUGGAAAGUUUCGGCGGUUGGGGAUGGACUCGCGGCUUAUCAGCUUGUGGGUGGGGGAGUGGCUAACCAAGGCUUGGACGGGUAGCCGGCCUGAGAGGGUGACCGGCCACAUUGGGAUUGAGAAACGGCCCGGCCUCCUACGGGGGCCAGCGGUGGGGAAUAUUGACCAAUGGGCGGAGCCCUGUUGCAGCACCGCCGGGUGCGGGAUGAGGGCCUUGGGGUUGUAAACCGCUUCCCCCGGUGACGAAGCGUGAGUGACGGUAACGGGUGAAGAAGCACCGGCUAACUACGUG